This 542-nucleotide long non-coding RNA is filed under the name Rosa chinensis. RNAcentral describes it as "sRNA RchiOBHm_Chr4g0402071". The record is from RNAcentral. Lineage: Eukaryota; Viridiplantae; Streptophyta; Magnoliopsida; Rosales; Rosaceae.
UUAUGGAAAUCGCAAAGGGUAAUAGACUAAUAGUCACCUAAUCAUCAAGCACAAUUGGACCAACUGGUUUUUUUGGGUUUCACUUAAUCAUCAAUCUAUUUCAAGUGAAGCCGAUGAGGAACUGCUUGAGUGAAAGAAAAAUCGAAUCAAAUUGAAAUCAAAGUGUCAAAGCUUCCGUAGAAGCAGGUGGAGUUUGAAAAAAAUGAUGGGAAAACGAAUCACUUACUGAAUUCUGGUACACCAAAAGAUUCAGAGGAAACUUUUGGUGAUAAAUGAGAUUCUUAGCAUCACAGGAGGAAAACAAGAGAUUUUUACUCAUUGAGGUUAUAAUUCUCAAAGACUUUAAAGUGUCAAUUAUAUAUCAGCUCUAUUUAGCAGAGGUAUUGGAUUAUGUGGCUGGUCGACAGCUUAAGAAAGAUGAUGAAGUGUGGCUGGUAUGUCGGGAGAGCAGUUUAGAGCACCAGAUGAUGUGGUAUUUUCAGAUUGUGUGGAUUUAACUUGUAGAGUUAUAGUUUGAUUGGUUGAUGUAAUGGGAUUUGGAC